GAUGAACGCUGGCGGCGUGCCUAAUACAUGCAAGUCGAGCGAACAGACGAGGAUCUUGCUCCUCUGACGUUAGCGGCGGACGGGGGAGUAACACGUGGAUAGCCUACCUAUAAGACUGGGAUAACUUCGGGAAACCGGAGCUAAUACCGAAUAAUAUAUAGAACCGCAGGGUUCAAUAGUGAAAGACGGUUGUGCUGUCACUUAUAGAGGGAUCCGCGCCGGAUUAGCUAGUUGGUAAGGUAACGGCUUACCAAGGCAACGAUGCGUAGCCGACCUGAGAGGGUGAUCGGCCACACUGGAACUGAGACACGGUCCCGACUCCUACGGGAGGCAGCAGUAGGGAAUCUUCCGCAUUGGGCGAAAGCCUGACGGAGCAACGCCGCGUGAGCGAUGAAGGUCUUCGGAUCGUAAAACUCUGUUAUUAGCGAAGACGAAAUGUGUACGUAACUAGGAACGUCUUGACGGUACCUAAUCAGAAAGCCCCGGCUAACUACGUG
RNAcentral lists this ribosomal RNA (497 nucleotides) under uncultured bacterium. Its description in RNAcentral is "partial 16S ribosomal RNA". It matches the Rfam family "Bacterial small subunit ribosomal RNA", at positions 28 to 507 of the family's 1533-position model. The record is from RNAcentral.